GGGGAUGUAGCGCGUUACGGAGACGCACCGGCUUGUAACUCCGGAGCCGCUCGACGGCCCACUGAGUUCAACUCUCAGCAUCCCCA
Molecule: transfer RNA, 86 nt
Filed under: Hyalangium minutum
Lineage: Bacteria; Pseudomonadati; Myxococcota; Myxococcia; Myxococcales; Archangiaceae
Also listed under: 1 other name
Rfam family: tRNA
About the family: Transfer RNA (tRNA) molecules are approximately 80 nucleotides in length. Their secondary structure includes four short double-helical elements and three loops (D, anti-codon, and T loops).
Source: Rfam by way of RNAcentral